UCGAACGGCAGCACGGACUUCGGUCUGGUGGCGAGUGGCGAACGGGUGAGUAAUAUAUCGGAACGUGCCCUGGAGUGGGGGAUAACGUAGCGAAAGUUACGCUAAUACCGCAUACGACCUGAGGGUGAAAGGGGGGGAUCGCAAGACCUCUCGCUAUUGGAGCGGCCGAUAUCAGAUUAGCUAGUUGGUGGGGUAAAGGCCUACCAAGGCAACGAUCUGUAGUUGGUCUGAGAGGACGACCAGCCACACUGGGACUGAGACACGGCCCAGACUCCUACGGGAGGCAGCAGUGGGGAAUUUUGGACAAUGGGCGCAAGCCUGAUCCAGCAAUGCCGCGUGCAGGAAGAAGGCCUUCGGGUUGUAAACUGCUUUUGUCAGGGAAGAAAUCUUCUGGGCUAAUACCCCGGGAGGAUGACGGUACCUGAAGAAUAAGCACCGGCUAACUACGUGCCAGCAGCCGCGGUAAU
Molecule: ribosomal RNA, 467 nt
Filed under: uncultured bacterium
Lineage: Bacteria
Description: bacterial SSU rRNA
Rfam family: Bacterial small subunit ribosomal RNA
Source: RNAcentral